UCCAGACUCCUACGGGAGGCAGCAGUGGGGAAUCUUCCGCAAUGGGCGAAAGCCUGACGGAGCAACGCCGCGUGAUCGAAUGAAGGCCUUCGGGUUGUAAAGAUCUGUUGACAGGGACGAAUAAGCAAUGCGAAUAGUUUUGUGUAUGACGGUACCUGUUUAGAAAGCUCCGGCUAACUCCGUGCCAGCAGCCGCGGUAAUACGGAGGGUGCGAGCGUUAAUCGGAAUUACUGGGCGUAAAGCGCUCGUAGGCGGUAUGUCAAGUCAAGGGUGAAAUCCCCGCGCUCAACGUGGGAACUGCCUUUGAAACUGGCAAACUGGAGUGUGUGAGAGGAUAGUGGAAUUCCAGGUGUAGGAGUGAAAUCCGUAGAUAUCUGGAGGAACAUCAGUGGCGAAGGCGACUAUCUGGCACAUAACUGACGCUGAGGAGCGAAAGCGUGGGUAGCAAACAGGAUUAGAUACCCGCGUA
Molecule: ribosomal RNA, 469 nt
Filed under: uncultured bacterium
Lineage: Bacteria
Description: bacterial SSU rRNA
Rfam family: Bacterial small subunit ribosomal RNA
Source: RNAcentral